ACGGGUGAGUAAUGUCUGGGGAUCUGCCCGAUAGAGGGGGAUAACCACUGGAAACGGUGGCUAAUACCGCAUAACGUCGCAAGACCAAAGAGGGGGACCUUCGGGCCUCUCACUAUCGGAUGAACCCAGAUGGGAUUAGCUAGUAGGCGGGGUAACGGCCCACCUAGGCGACGAUCCCUAGCUGGUCUGAGAGGAUGACCAGCCACACUGGAACUGAGACACGGUCCAGACUCCUACGGGAGGCAGCAGUGGGGAAUAUUGCACAAUGGGCGCAAGCCUGAUGCAGCCAUGCCGCGUGUAUGAAGAAGGCCUUUGGGUUGUAAAGUACUUUCAGCGGGGAGGAAGGCGAUGUGGUUAAUAACCGCGUCGAUUGACGUUACCCGCAGAAGAAGCACCGGCUAACUCCGUGCCAGCAGCCGCGGUAAUACGGAGGGUGCAAGCGUUAAUCGGAAUUACUGGGCGUAAAGCGCACGCAGGCGGUCUGUUAAGUCAGAUGUGAAAUCCCCGGGCUUAACCUGGGAACUGCAUUUGAAACUGGCAGGCUUGAGUCUCGUAGAGGGGGGUAGAAUUCCAGGU
This 576-nucleotide ribosomal RNA is filed under the name uncultured bacterium. RNAcentral's name for it is "bacterial SSU rRNA". It matches the Rfam family "Bacterial small subunit ribosomal RNA", at positions 102 to 674 of the family's 1533-position model. The record is from RNAcentral.